AGAAAUUGAGAGGGCAAGGUGUGUUUUGUGUACAUGCAGAGUCCGAGCACAUGGGAGCAGAGGGCUGAGGCAUGAGUCUAUCUCAUGGCGGAAUCCUCCCUCAAGGAGCUCGGAGAAAAUAAAUGAAGUGAUACAGCUCAGGUUUUCCCAGGUCCUCCAAUUAAGUGAGGCCCUUUCCCAGAGUGCUUUUUUCCACUCAGCAGAGGACACUUCUCAUAUCCAUGGUCUUCUUUCUGUGUGGGAUGAGGCCAAGGCCCUGGGCUAUGCUUGUCCAAAACCCUAACAAGGUCACACUUCUUGGGUGGCUCCUUGGAGCCCCUUACAGGUUCUAUCUAGCAUGAAUUUUCACAUAUCCUCGAAGGGAUGGGUCUUUCCCCAGUAUGUGUCCUCACGUGUGCACUGGGACUAGGAAGAAUGACAGGCUUUCCCACGCUUGCUGCACGGACACCUGCUGCACAGACGGGCCUUUCCUCCCUAUGUAAUCUUAUGUUUCUGGAAAUAUUGAAGGGACCGAAGGCUUUGUCACACAGCUCACACAUCUGAGGCUUCUCUCUGCUAUGCAUCCUGAUGUGCUCUUAAAGGGAAGACUGAGAAGUGAGGGCUUUCCCACAUUGCUGGCAUCUGUAGGGUUUCUCUCUGAUGUGUGUCCUCAUGUGGAUGUUGAGGGAUGCUGAGAAGCUGAAGGCCCUACAGCACUGUGCACGUGCGUGGGGCUUCACCCCACCAUGCAUCUUCAGGUGUGUCUGGAAGUAGGCUUGGGAGUGGAAGGUUUUCCCACACUGCUCACAUAGUAAAGACUGGUUCCCAAAUGUGUCAUCAUCCAGUGUACCCUCGGGGACACAGAGUACCAGAAGGCUCUGCUCCACUCAGGACACAUGUGUGGUUGUCUCGGGAAGAUGAGUGACAGCCAAAGGCUCUCCCACACACUUUACACUCGUGCGUCCUCAUGUGUCCUUUAAGACAGAAGUAGAAGCUAAAGGCUCUCCAACGUUGAAUGAGUCACAUGCAUGACUUUGCUCUGUGACCUCUUGUGUGUCCCUUCAAGGAGGAGAAACAGGAAAAAGCGUCCACAUUUCAGGAUUUUUGUCCUACUAGGACUCUGCACAUUUUUCUAAGAUGCUUUCCCGGUGUCUUCAGACUUGCAAGUGCCCUCCUCAACACCAGUCUCCACCAAGGGCAUUAGCACAUCAGGCUCACUCUCCCACAGUCCUCACAAGGAUAUAAUUUGUGUUUUGUGAGGGGCAUUUUCUGGUUCUCAGAGAUUUGCCUAGGCUCUGUGCCAUCACUGGCUCCACCUACAGGACACAGUAGGACCCUUGGCCUGGCCAAAGCCAUCUUCUUCACAGUCUGUCCAUAAAAGAACUGCCAUUCAAAGCAGAAAGAACAGUGAAGGAGUCAUCAGAGAUUACAAAUAGCUUAAAUUCAAUGUUCAGAAUUUUGUUUAAGACAAUGUCUUGUGCUGGGCAGCGGUGGCACAGUCACUUGGGAUUAAAGGCGUGUGCCACCACUGCCCUGCAAAAGGUUUCUGAGGAGAAAAAAAAUGUUACUAUGUAGUUUGCCAGUGUUGAAAGCCUGCCUGAGGCUAAGGGGAAAAUUUUUGGAUUAAUUGAAUUGGCAAAGGAAAUCUCAAAGCAACCUGGUAUAGACUCUGUGCUGUGCUCCACUCUUAUGAAGAGUGUUUUAAUGAAAAGAAGCAAGCUGACCAAGGAAAAAUACAAAAUGCAUGGUUCAAGGAGAAAAGGAGCGUGGAGUGGAGUUAAAGCCUGGGAGAAAAACAGACUAAAGAUAUUAAAUAGAAUAAAGGGAGUGAUGACCUCAGGCGAGAUCCCACCUAGCAAGGCUUUCAUCUUGUGAAAAGGAAUUGAAGAAGAGCUUGGGUCCAGGCACUUUUAAUCCUAGCUUUCCGGAGAUAAAGACAUGCAAGUGUCUGAGUCCAAGGCCAGCCUGGUCUACAGAGCAAGAUCCAGGACAGCCGAGCUUAAGCAGCAAAGGAAACCUUGGAAAAUAGAAAGCUAGUGAAGAUGUGAUUGAACACGGGACUUCUUCCACCUAUGGACCUGAAUUUAGGUCAUCACUUUGGCCGCAAACACUGUAAUCCACUGGGCCCCAUUGCAGUCUCACUUAUUUACUUAUUUGUAUGUAACAUCUGCAGAUGUCCCUUAAAACUUUCAACACCUGUGCAUCUGCGUUCCAGGUACAGUGUUGAGGCGCAUGGUUCCCAUGGAAAUAGCACCGCGUCUCACCCCUCCCGUAGCCCUGCGGGGACCGGCACGUGUUGUCCUGCACCGAAGUUAAUGCUUCCAUGUACUCUAACCCAAGGUCAUGCUCUCCCGCAGUCACACAAAUCUUUAGCCCUUCCCUGCCCUUGACCCGAGGAUUGUUUUUGGCUCUGGGCACGUUGAGCGAAUGAGGAAUUAUUUUGGGUCAAGAACGACAGCGACGAAGACCAAGGCGGCAGAGAAACAUAUUUACGUUUCUGGUUAUCCUACGGUCGAGUUU
RNAcentral lists this long non-coding RNA (2499 nucleotides) under Mus caroli (Ryukyu mouse). RNAcentral describes it as "lncRNA (MGP_CAROLIEiJ_G0004655.1)". The record is from RNAcentral. Lineage: Eukaryota; Metazoa; Chordata; Mammalia; Rodentia; Muridae.